This 1950-nucleotide long non-coding RNA is filed under the name Homo sapiens (human). Its description in RNAcentral is "non-protein coding lnc-TAF7-3:1". Lineage: Eukaryota; Metazoa; Chordata; Mammalia; Primates; Hominidae. The record is from RNAcentral.
AAAGAAACUGUGAGAAAAACAAGAGCUAUAAUCAUGCAUGCAACUACAGUACAACCAAGAAUCCACAAAAGAUUAUGCAAAAAGUACCAUCAGCUUGCCAAGAAUAACCAAAAAUUAGACAUUUAAAAUAAAUUGUUUUAUUGAAUGUUAAGUCCAAAGCUAUUUCGAAAGUUCUCGAUUUCCCCCAUAUUCCUACCAGUGUCAUGAACUUGAAAAUUGGGGAUAAUCGGCUUCAGAAAUUUGAACUCAUUUGUCCCGGAACCUCCUGUCAGACACACCUCGUAUUGGUAGCUCUGGGACAGGGUCCCGGUGCCGCUCACGUCCACCAGAUGCCCUGGAAAGGGACCCUCGGGCACCGAGCAGCGACCCACCGAGGCCGCCCUGCUCCUCCUGCACAGCCGCACCGCCACGAACAGGGUGUAGGAGGUUUGGGUGAAGGUGGGGGCGUUGUCAUUGACGUCAGAGAGCAGCACGGUUAUGUUGUACUCGGUUUUCAGCCUGGGUGUCCCCAAGUCUGUGACGGUGAUCGUGAUGUUGUACUCGGCUUGGCUCUCUCUGUCCAGUGCUUUUUCAGAAACUAGAGUGAAAAAGUUCUUGAAGGUCGGUUUCAGGAAAAAAGGGAGGUUAUCUUGAAUAGAGCAAAUCAUCCUCCCAUUGUCUCCAGAGUCUUGGUCUAGGAUACUAAAAAGAGCUACUAGGGUCUCUGAGGCAUUCUCUGGAAUUCUCUUUGUAAUCGACGAUAUGGUCACUUCUGGUGGGUUGUCGUUUAUAUCCAUAACUUUAACUAGAAGGGUGCAUUUUCCUGAAAGACCCCCACCAUCUGUUGCCUGAAUAUUUAUAGUGUAGGACUGUAUUACUUCAAAAUCCAGGGGUGAUCUCAAAUUAACUUCCCCAGAUAUUGGAUUAAUUUCAAAUGUUUUACGAAUAUCUUCUGAUGCAUGGAAAAAUGUGUAAGAUAUUUUUCCAUAGUUUCCUGCAUCCAGAUCCUUAGCUGAGAUGGUGGCAAUCCAGGAGCCAAGGGGUCUGUCCUCGGGGACUUGCACCUCAUAGAGACUCUGAGGAAACUCAGGGGCAUUAUCAUUGAUGUCCAACACCUUGAUGAGAACCAAAGUUGUCCCAGACUUGGGCGGGGAUCCACCAUCCACUGCUGUGAGUGUUAAUCUGAGUUCAGCUUCCUGUUCAUAAUCUAAAGCUCUAUCUAGGACCAGCUCUGGGUAUAUCUUUCUGUCACUACUGUCGGGAAUUUUAAUGUAGAAGUGAGAAUUGGGGCUAAUUGUGUAGUUUUGGAGACUGUUGCUUCCGACAUCCAAAUCUUGAGCACUCUCCAUUAGAAAGGUAGCUCCAACAGUGGUACCUUCUGAUAUUUUAAUAAGUAUUUCCUUGUCUAGAAAUGUAGGGGAGUGAUCAUUUAUGUCUUUGACACACAGCUCAAACCGAAAAAACUGUAAAGGGUUUUCCAAAACCACCUGAAAAUGCAGCACACAGGGCUCGGUGGAGCCACACAGCUCGUCUCGGUCUAGUUUCUCAUUUAGGAGCAAAUUCCCAGUCAGCAAAUCAAGGUGCAAAUACUUUUUAUUAUCAUCAGACACUACCCGGGCUUCACGUGAAGACAGCUCCUCCACCCCCAGCCCUAGGUCCCUCGCUAGAUUAGCCACAAAAGAGCCAAUUUCUGUUUCCUCUGCCACAGAAUAGUGUGCAGAUUCAGUACCUGCCCGAGACAAUCCCAGCAAAACAAGGAAUAUUAGAACUUGCCUUUUUCGCAGAUCGAGUGCCCCUCUGAUCUCCAUGGUUCCUUUAGGCAAUCUCUUGUGGAAAAACUGAAGCUCAGCCGUAAUUUUGGAAGCUGAAGCUCUGGUUUUUAACAGGAACCCCCUGGAGAGUGUAUCCUCCAGCAGCUCUGUAGGCGAAGCUCCUUUAAUGCCUGUCUUUUCAGUGGGUUGGAUGCUUUCU